GAUGAACGCUGGCGGCGUGCCUAAUACAUGCAAGUCGAGCGAACAGACGAGGAGCUUGCUCCUCUGACGUUAGCGGCGGACGGGUGAGUAACACGUGGAUAACCUACCUAUAAGACUGGGAUAACUUCGGGAAACCGGAGCUAAUACCGUAUAAUAUAUUGAACCGCAUGGUUCAAUAGUGAAAGACGGUUUUGCUGUCACUUAUAGAUGGAUCCGCGCCGCAUUAGCUAGUUGGUAAGGUAACGGCUUACCAAGGCAACGAGGCGUAGCCGACCUGAGAGGGUGGUAGGCGACACGGGAACUGAGACGCGGUCAAGACUACUACGGGAGGCAGCAGUAGGGAAUCUUCCGCAAUGGGCGAAAGCAUGACGGAGCAACGCCGAGUGAGUGAUGAAGGUCUUCGGAUCGUAAAAAUCUGUUAUUAGGGAAGAACAAAUGUGUAAGUAAAUAUGCACGUCUUGACGGUAACUAGUCAGAAAGCCACGGCUAACUACGUG
RNAcentral lists this ribosomal RNA (497 nucleotides) under uncultured bacterium. RNAcentral describes it as "partial 16S ribosomal RNA". It matches the Rfam family "Bacterial small subunit ribosomal RNA", at positions 28 to 507 of the family's 1533-position model. The record is from RNAcentral.